Molecule: long non-coding RNA, 567 nt
Filed under: Fukomys damarensis (Damara mole-rat)
Lineage: Eukaryota; Metazoa; Chordata; Mammalia; Rodentia; Bathyergidae
Description: lncRNA (ENSFDAG00000026306.1)
Source: RNAcentral
GCACCUUCCCUCAUGUGUUUUGUCACAAUCCCAGCAAGCUGACGAACCGUGUGACAGCCCUUUGACUUACCCAUGUCCUCUCACUGUGCAGCACGUGGAGCAGUCGUCCCUGCCAGACCCACCCAAGGCCCUGUAACCCCACUACACAGCUCCAGGGCUUAUCCCAGUACAGUUCACAGAAUCAGCCCAGCCGCCCGUUCCACCCCUAAACCCAGACCCACGAGCACGUGUGGUCCCUGACUGCUCCAAGUGUAAGGUGACCGGUGUUAGCAGGAAAGCUGCACACAAGGUGUUUCUACUCAGCGUGGGAAUCAUCACAAACUGCCAGGCCAGUGCUGUGCGUUCUCCUGCCGUUCUCUCCUCUCCUGCUCUCCCUCUUGGGCCUGGCCAAGCUCCUCCCGCUGCUCUGGGGCCACCCAGCAGUGCAGUGCUCCAGCUGAGUGCUCCAUCCACUGCUGGAUCGCCUCGAUUCCUGCAAAUACCUCCGGAAAAAGCCACCUGCCCCGGUCCCUUAUCACCCAAGUUAAGCAGGCCACCUACAUUGUCUUUUGACUCCCACCUCACCCU